GGCCUAUUUCCGGCGGGCCGGUGCAAACCGCGAACUGCUAGAAUGGGCCUUCUGUCUGGAGGUGCGGUGCUUCCUAUUCACUUAGUGGUGCCGUGCGUCUAGUACCUUUACUUUGAACAAAUUGGAGUGUUUAAAGCAGGCAAACGUCUUGAACACAUUAGCAUGGAAUAAUCGAAUAGGGCUUUGGCUCUAUUUUGUUGGUUUUAAGGGCCGAAGUA
RNAcentral lists this ribosomal RNA (218 nucleotides) under uncultured fungus. RNAcentral's name for it is "partial small subunit ribosomal RNA". The stretch from base 98 to 218 matches the Rfam family "Eukaryotic small subunit ribosomal RNA", at positions 742 to 864 of the family's 1831-position model. The record is from RNAcentral. Lineage: Eukaryota; Fungi.